GACGAACGCUGGCGGCGUGCUUAACACAUGCAAGUCGAACGGUAAGGCCCUUCGGGUACACGAGUGGCGAACGGGUGAGUAACACGUGGGUGAUCUGCCCUGCACUUCGGGAUAAGCCUGGGAAACUGGGUCUAAUACCGGAUAGGACCACGGCCUGCAUGGGUGGUGGUGGAAAGCUUUUGCGGUGUGGGAUGGGCCCGCGGCCUAUCAGCUUGUUGGUGGGGUGAUGGCCUACCAAGGCGACGACGGGUAGCCGGCCUGAGAGGGUGACCGGCCACACUGGGACUGAGAUACGGCCCAGACUCCUACGGGAGGCAGCAGUGGGGAAUAUUGCACAAUGGGCGCAAGCCUGAUGCAGCGACGCCGCGUGAGGGAUGACGGCCUUCGGGUUGUAAACCUCUUUCAGCACCGACGAAGCGCAAGUGACGGUAGGUGCAGAAGAAGGACCGGCCAACUACGUGCCAGCCGCCGCGGUAA
Molecule: ribosomal RNA, 477 nt
Filed under: uncultured bacterium
Lineage: Bacteria
Description: partial 16S ribosomal RNA
Rfam family: Bacterial small subunit ribosomal RNA
Source: RNAcentral